CCCCGGUAGACGGCGAUGGUCUCCCAGGCUGGCUGAGACAUGUCGAAGUGCUGCCGCGGCGGGUUGCACCACCCGCCGUUGUCGCUGGGAAGGUCGUAGUUGGGCGGGCAGUAGUUGGUGGCGGUGACGGUGAUGUGCGUCCCCUUCUUGCACCACGUCGACUUCCUCGAGUCGCACACGAUCUGGAAGCACGCGCCGCAGGCGGCGCCGUUGUUGAACAGCGCCGUGCUCAGUGCCGUGUUCUUGAUGCCGUACCCGUCGGUGUACAAGUUCUGAUACCCACACGCUCCACCUGCAUCCAUGGAACACCCACCUUAGAGCGCAGACCAAACUCCCAAGCAUCAAACGUCGUGUGUGAGUCACCCACCCAUAGUGCCGGAAGCAUCACCCCCUCCAUAGAAGGUUGCCGAGGCAGGAAUCCAAUCAUCUCCCAGAGCUCUGAACUCAGAGGCAAACCACGCGAGGAACAGCAGCAGUAGUGCAGCCUUCUCCAUCUCUACUUGCUCGAAGAAGACAACUACUCGGUGCUGUGAAUAUU
Molecule: long non-coding RNA, 538 nt
Filed under: Musa acuminata (dwarf banana)
Lineage: Eukaryota; Viridiplantae; Streptophyta; Magnoliopsida; Zingiberales; Musaceae
Description: long non-coding RNA (MACU_LNC006785)
Source: RNAcentral